Long non-coding RNA from Homo sapiens (human), 4009 nucleotides. RefSeq lists it as uncharacterized. Lineage: Eukaryota; Metazoa; Chordata; Mammalia; Primates; Hominidae. The record is from RefSeq and is a predicted model, not a curated record. The transcript is spliced from 2 exons.
CGGUGACCCACCCCAGCCCCGGGGAAGGGAUGAGGGCGGCCGCGCUUCAGGCCGGGCCGCGCGGUCUCCCCUGCACCGCCGCCCCCUGGACGAGGGCUGGACCCAAGGCGGUGGUCAGGGACCUCAGAACACAAGUAGAACCAGUCCAGGCCCGGGCCCGCGCUGCCCGGUUGUAGGGGUUGCAUUGGAAGAUGGGCCAGCGGCAGAGCGGAGCAUGCAGGAAAGAGGAAGAGGCCUUGGACCUGCAGCCCAGGUCGGAUUUGGUGGUUACUGUCUAAAUCUGAAGCUUUGGCCUGCCUUGACUCCCCACCCACCCAGGGCAGCUUGGACCUCUCUCUAGCCACCCUUGUCCCGAGGGGUCUGAGUGUCUCCCAGACUAAACUGGGCAUUUUCUGCAGUGGAAGGAUAAAAAUGGAAGCGUUUACGCGCCUCCCAGACACUGGUAUUAGGGCUCAAGAGCUCUACAGAUUGCCUGGGGAGGUAGGGGUGGAAGGGGUUCAGUUCCUCACUUGGAGUUAGCUCUUAGAAGCUCAGAAGAGUGGAGGCGAAGAGGGGACAUUCAGCCUGGGAGAUCUGGGGCAGCGGGAAGUGGGGAUACCGGGUCGGGGUGAAGGCAAGCAGCAGCACCCCCAGCAUGGGGAAGAAGGCCUGAGGCUGUCUCUGGCCACUGCAUCUCUAGGCCUUCUCUUGGAGCGGGAGGUGGCUGGGUUUCCAGGGAAUUUUGUGUGAGUAAAAUUUUCCCAUGUCAUUGGAGAGUUAGGAAGAGCUCCUCUUUUGGGGCCUUUUUCCAAGCGGGUCCCCCUCACCCCGCUACAGGCUUCUUGUCACUCAGGCUUCAAUAAAGGCCAUUCUGGGGGCUGCUUGCUGUAACCUAGAAGACAGAAUUGCCUAGGAUCAUUAGUAGAGUCAUUUUUUUUUUUUCCUACUCUACAGGCCAAUUAAUUUGAAACAAGCUUCUAUGGUCUUUUAACUGUUAGCAUCACCACUGUUGUAACAGGACCAUAAACCCAGUCUGCCCCACUCUAGUCCCAUGUUUUUAAUAACUGUUGGCUCUUUUUUAGGGGUUUGGGUGGGGGGAUUCCUACCUCAGUGAUCCCUGCUGAGCCUGGCUGUUGUCUGUGGUCCAGAAGGUUCCUUUACCUGACUCACUCCUCUCAGAUCAUGUCCAAAUACCAGGAGACUGACCCAGGUCCUCACCAGGUGAGUAGAGGUCUGGCUCUGAGCGACAUUAAGGAAAAGACACAGACAGAGACUGUUUUCUCUUUGGGUCUUCACAUUCAGUGAGUACAGUUCAGAAGUGUUCUUAACUGAGAGAAGCCCCUUUUGGGGAAAAUUUUUCUUUACUGUUGACUCCUUUUUCCUGCUAUGCUUCACUUUUCCGGCAUUUUAAAUUAGUUUGUUUUAAUUAUGAGUAGACUACAUCUACACAGUAAAUAGUCAAACAGAAAUAGGAUAGAAAAUGAAAAGUAAAGGUCUCUCUUUCCUUGCCACCCUCCCCAAAAAGUUCCCACGGUUCCUGGGUUGCCCUUCCAGUAUAUACAAGACUAUUUGUAUAUUCCCUUCUAAAAAAAAACGGAAUAGUAGUAUGCAAACUGUUCUGCCACGUGCUCUUCUAACUUAAUAUAUCAACAUUAUCAUAUCACUUAUAUAUGACCUCUUUCUUGUAGUUGUGUUAUGUCUCAUAGUAUGAUUAUACAGUAAUAUAUUGAACUGAUGUAACCAUGGAUGAUUAUUUCCAGUUUUUCUUUUUUUGUGGUUGCCAACAAUGCUUCAGUGAAUAUCCCUGUACAUAGAUCAGUGUGUACUUGUGCAGGUAUAUCUGCGUGUGAUAUUGUGAAAUAUAUAUUUGAUUGUAGUCCCUGUUUCCUGACCUAAAACUCUUAAAUUCCUUGGACUCUCCAGAGUGAUGAAAAUAUCUUACCUUUUGUAUGCUAAUGAGAUGGUUGGUGACUUGGAGACCCUAGAUAGCUUCAGGAUGGGGACUGGUCACCAGAAAGAUCAAGGCAGGAUUAGAGGGUUGGGACUUUUAGUCCCACCCUGUCCCCCCAGACCUCCACAGAGAGGAGAGGGGCUGAAAGUUAAGUUGAUCACCAGUGACCAAUGAUGUAAUCAAUCAGACAUAUGCAAUGAAGCCUGUAUAAAAGCCCAAAGGAUAGGGUUUGUUGAGUUCUGGAGAGCAGAACAUCAGGUUCCUAGAGGGUGGCGUGCUCAGAGAGGAUAUGGAAGCGCCACAGCCCUUCCCACAUUUCUUGCCCUGUGCAUCUCUUCCAUCUCACUGUUCAUCUAUAUGCUUUGUAAUAUCCUUCCUCAUAAAUGAGCAAACAGAAGUAAAGUGUUUCACUGAGUUCUGUGAUCCACUCUAGCAGAUUAGUCCAAACAAGGAGUGGGUUGGGGGAACUCCAGUUUAUAGCUGGGCAGGCAGAGGUACAGGAGACAACCUACUACCUGGGAUUGGCAUCUGAAAUGGGGGGCGGUCUCAUAGGAUCAAACCCUGAGCCCCUGCUAUUUCCAGGUACAUAGUGCCAGAAUUGAAUUGAAUUAAAGGACACCCAGCCGGUGUCUGUUGCAGAAUUGCUUGGUAUGAGGGGAAACAUCCCCCACACAUCUAGUGUUAAAAGUGUGCUGGCUGUGUGAGAGUGGGAGACAACACUUUGGUUUCUCCUAUAUCACAACACUGGAAUUAGAUUCCUGGAAGUGAAAUUGCUGCAACUUUUUAUGUCCUUGGUUGGAUGAAGAAACCUCGUGCUGUGACCUCCACUUUACCUGCUCACACCCCUGCUUUUGUCCUCUGCAGUCAGGCCAGCUCCUCUGCAGGUCUCAGUCCUGUUUAUUGCCUUGAGGAUCACCAUCAUGGACCAAGCAGUUUCCCAGCAUGGAUCCUGGCCCUUCUUAUACUCAGCCUCCAGACCCUUAUGUGGGGAGCUGGGGCUAAAGUCUAUAAGCUGUGUUCCUGGAGUUCCAGAGUCACUACUAGACUACGAAGGAGCAAAGCAUGGAGUCGUCUUGCUCUUUCGAGGACUUAGGAGGGGAAAAUGGAAACUUGAUUAAGGAGAACUUCUCCUGGGUUCAUCUAUGGUGGCAGCAUGGAGUUUUGUAAUAUACCACUAGCAUGCAGUGCUCAACCACAACUUUUAAAAUUGUUAUGGGCAAAGUGCCAGGAAACUGCUAACUGGUUAAAAUUUAAUUUUGGCUGGUAAAAUUUUCAGCCUUUAUUUUUAUUUUUGAGACAGAGUCUCACUCUGUCGCCCAGGUAGGGGUGCAGUGGCGCAAUCUUGGCUCACUGCAACCUCUGCCUCCCGGGUUCAAGUGAUCCUCCUGCCUUAGCCUCCUGAGUAGCUGGGAUUACAGGCAUGCACCACCACGCCUGGCUUUUUAUAUUUUUAGCAGAGACGGGGUUUCACCAUAUUGGCCAGGGUGGUCUUGAAUUCCUGUCCUCAAGUGAUCUGCCCACCUCAGCCUCCCAAAAUGCAGGGAUUACAGGUGUGAGCCACCAUGCCCAGCCAAUUUUCAGCCUUUAGAGCAAGAAAUCCUAACAAGCCUAUGCCCAUUAAUCAUAAAUCUGCCCCACUUAGGGCACUGGAUGUGUGGCUGUACAGACUGAGUUUUACCCAUCUUUAUAAAUGAUGCUACACUACUAAACUGUGAUGCAUUGGACAUCUCUCAUUUUUCUGUGGCUGACCAGCAUGCAAACAUUCUUUAUAUUUGGGGCACUCCAUCACUGUGAGAGUCUUAGGACCUUCUUUCCCACCGUGGAGCAUAAGGGGGCCACAUACUUGGUCUCCCAACCCCUCACAGCUAGGGUGGCGUGUGAUCUGGCCAAUGAGAUUCUCCUUUUGGGAACUGUGAAUCUUGAUCAAGUGGUGCAAAGACAGAGACACGUUAAAAUUCAUCUUGGUGGUCGAGUUUCUAGAGACUGGUAGUACCUAGCAAUCAUGGUGGAACCAGUGACAGUAUCCUUUUUAUUCCGUGGUACCUGAAAUCCUUACAAUAAAUUCUUCCGCUUCAAUCA